This is a long non-coding RNA of Dermacentor albipictus, 1025 nucleotides long. RefSeq lists it as uncharacterized. Lineage: Eukaryota; Metazoa; Arthropoda; Arachnida; Ixodida; Ixodidae. The record is from RefSeq and is a predicted model, not a curated record.
CGCUGUAAUAUAAUGUUGCGAACAGAUAACCGCUUUUGUUUCAUCCGCAUUCAGCAGUAUCAAAUUCGUAGGUGCGCAUAUGAAGAACCGUGGAUGCGCAUGCACAACAUUUCUCGCUCUCGCUACUUUAACAGGAAACAUCAGGAAAUGUUCUUGCUUUCGUUGCCUUUACCGUAAGAAAAAAAAAAUUCUUGGAACCAGAGACCACGGCGAAGGAUAUAUCACGCUAUAUUAACCCGGAACGUGCCACCUCCCCUAACGUUACGCCGACAUUCCUUGAAAUCGUCUAUUCCGGCAUAUGCGCGUGCAUCGGAGUGCUGUAUGUUUGUAUAUGCGCAUGCGUAGUCACAUGCAUUUGCACGCCUGCGCAUACCACUCGACUUGAAGAAGCAAUGUAUAUACAGAGCAACUAUGUGCCACGUCGCAUGCUUGUCGUACUCGUCCGGACGUGCUGUCCUUCCAAAGAGCUGUUUUUUCGGUGUUCAGGCGGGGAAAGCACUCUCUGAAUGCGGAGGGCUGGAUCGAAACUGCGCUCCCACUGGUUGCCAGAGGACAUUGAAGUGUAGCGGGCACACGAGCUCUUCGAAGAACUCUGCCUGAGGAUUGUUGGCAAAUUCCGAGGUGAUUACCGAGGCAAAACGCAGGCAAGAGCUUGCGGGGACAAGCAACGAACAAAAGAAACAGAAAGAAGGAAACCGUUGCCUGCAUUUCGGGAAGCCAUGCUCGGAGUACUCUUUCCUGCUGAAACUGUGCCCCCGCGGGCGCUUCGAUAUUUCAAAAGAACGGGAAUGAGAUCCCGUUUCAUCGGCCAUCGGUUGUGGCCCGAUGAUGGCGUCCAUCUCGACGCCGCCUCAAGAACUGAUACACUUUUGUGCCCGCCUCGAUGCACUCCGUUAUACUUGAGAUUUCAGGCAACUACGAGCUGACUUGGUAGCCUCUGUAUAGAUUUUGUUGGAACCGUUGAAUUGGAGCCGUUUCUACCCAUUUCUGAAUAAACACUACGUUCGCGUUUCUCAUUUUAUUCA